This 371-nucleotide long non-coding RNA is filed under the name Ananas comosus (pineapple). RNAcentral's name for it is "long non-coding RNA (ACOM_LNC034839)". Lineage: Eukaryota; Viridiplantae; Streptophyta; Magnoliopsida; Poales; Bromeliaceae. The record is from RNAcentral.
AGACGAAUGAAUUUUCAAAAAAAUUAAAAUUAUUAAAAAAUAGAGGAAUUUUUUUGGUAGAAAUAAUGACAAAUACUUUGUAUUUUAACCGUUGGAUUAAAUUUGAUGGUGUUGAUUAACUGUAAUUUUAUAAUUUUAUAGAAAAAAUUUAAAAUUCUACGGUUGUAAGUAACUUAUUUUAAAAAAAAUGGAUUAGAUUAAUUGAAAUGGAGUGGAAUUGUGUGAGAUCCCUUGUGUUCAGCUGUGGAGGCUUGCCGACAGCUCUGGAGAGUGUCAGGACAAGUCCGAGUCGCGUUGGCGUCAAAUAGACGUAAAACGGACUCCGUGCGACGCGAUGGCAGCUUAUAGCAAAGAAAUCUGCAAAACUGCAG